GCUGAGCCGCAGUGACUUCGCGCUUGUGUCCUCUUGUUGUUGUACUCCGUCUGUGGAAGCGCAGCCGUUUUUAUAGAGCCUCCCUGGUUCUGCGCAGAGCAGGUUCACUGCAUCACGACCGGAGGGGAGGGAAUCGCGCUGCCCCUGUUUGAUCGCUUUCAGAAGCAGCGUCAUGUUCAGAAGAUGAAACCAAUUUUCCUUUUUUUUGGCUCCCACGUUUAAUCUUUCACCACUUCGACUAUUUGUCAUUUCUCGUGGAGGCAUGAAUGAAGUAAAGCAGGGAACUAGUCAAGGAUCAGCACCCAGAAGCAUCCACACAGAAACAACCACAAACUUUAUUAGAUGUUACACAACCAGGCCGCACUCGGACCUCGUCGGAGCCAAGAAAUGUGUUCAGGAAACAUGUCAGCGCCUCCACGCUCCCACUUAGUUCCAGUCACCGUGAAGCAAAGCGCUGCUGACGCCCUCAGGACCGGAUCAGAACCUGCUGGUUCCACGUACUCGUAUCAUCACGAACCAGCAGAACCUGUUGGUUCCACGUCCUUGUAUCACGUACUGAACCAGCAGAACCUUCUGGGGUCACGUCCUCCUCAUCCUGAACCCAUGAAGGACGUGGUUGUAGUGAAGCAGACGACGUUCAUCUGA
This 645-nucleotide long non-coding RNA is filed under the name Betta splendens (Siamese fighting fish). RNAcentral describes it as "lncRNA (ENSBSLG00000004892.1)". The record is from RNAcentral. Lineage: Eukaryota; Metazoa; Chordata; Actinopteri; Anabantiformes; Osphronemidae.